This 216-nucleotide long non-coding RNA is filed under the name Salvia miltiorrhiza (redroot sage). Its description in RNAcentral is "long non-coding RNA (SMIL_LNC012367)". The record is from RNAcentral. Lineage: Eukaryota; Viridiplantae; Streptophyta; Magnoliopsida; Lamiales; Lamiaceae.
CCCCUUCAUUUUAUUCCAUGGUACCAACUACCAAACACCUUUUCAUUUUUCGUUUGUUAAGAAAUUAUAGAUAGUAUCUUCAUAGAGCAAAACCAAUUCGAAUCUUCUGUUUCAUUCUAAUGUGACACCUUCAAUUAAAUUUAUGAUUUUUUUUUUUUUUGAUCGGGCAAAGUCAUGUUAGAUGUUAGUAAUUAGUUUCUCAUCCACUCCAAGAAC